This 954-nucleotide long non-coding RNA is filed under the name Olea europaea (common olive). Its description in RNAcentral is "long non-coding RNA (OEUR_LNC005010)". Lineage: Eukaryota; Viridiplantae; Streptophyta; Magnoliopsida; Lamiales; Oleaceae. The record is from RNAcentral.
UUCGGUAUAUGAGCCUGGAGGGAAUUCUGCAUUCCGCGUAAUUUUCAGUUUUUCAUGGCUGAAAAUUUGAUUUCGUCGAAAUUUAACUGAUCAUUGAUUUAUGUUAUCUCAAAAGACGAAGAAGAAAAGUGUGUGAUUUUUUUUACCGUGUUUAAUGGAGUUUUAAGGGUUUUUUGAUUGAUACUACUCGAUUUCUAACGGUUGAUCGCCUACGAAUGGACUGCUUGGAAUCCUCAUAUAGUGCUGGAGUUUCAUAUACACUACCGUGGUAACUAAUCAACCGACUCCAAUUAUUUAUUGAUUUGCCCGUUAUUUUGUGUAUGCCGUAUCUUUUCUGCAGUAAGUUUUAGAAUUACGGAGAAAGGAACAAGACAUUUUGGAAGAUUGAUAGUAUUUCUUGGUUAGGAGUUAGGUGUUUGGUGUCAUGGUUCUUGUUGAUUCCUGGCAAAAAUUUUAGAUUCUUCUUUGUUAAUACUAAUGAAUGUUGUCGAAUACACUUUACCAACAACUCCAUGAAUAUAUAUAUCCAAUACUUAAUCAACUUAGGAUAACAGUUUGUUUUACCUAACAGUAAAUAACAGUUGAUCCCAUGAUUCAGAGAGAGUAUAAUGAAUCAGGAUUUUAUAAUAAGCUAACUAGUCAAUGGCUGCUUGACUACAAUAUGAAAAAAAUCAAGCCCAACCGUGUAUAAGAGUAUAAUAUUUUGAGAUACAAUCGUCAUAUCUUACUCCUCAUUCUUACUAACUUGGCUAAUGUUUCUUGAGCGGCUAAUGUUUGAGCAUGGUUGUGGCCUAGCAUCACUGUCCUGAUACUGAUGCAAGUUCUGCACAGCUCUUCCCCACUGUCAAAACGGCCUCCUCUCAGCAGUAAUUUUGCUCUUGUCUCGAGCAGCAUAGCUUUCAGCAAUGUCACUUCCUUCCACACGUACUCAUCCACUCUCUGAUUCGAUUGCAG